GCAGCAUGCUCUAUAUGGUGUAAUAACGUGCAAAGACCUCCUUGUCUCUCAACUGAGCCCAGACCACCUCCCCAGCAUAGUACCCUAGCCAGGUCAUUUCCAGUUCCAGCAGGAAGAAUAGCUAAAGGUGGAGGAGAAAUGAAAUUUUGCUUGUCUAUGGCAUUCAAAACCCAACCAACAGUACCAUCUCCACCACAUACAAGAACUCUGAAGUGAGGCACCUUCCUGAAAAAAUAAAGGCCUACUUCUGGCCCCUCUGUUGAGCUCAAUUCAAAUACCUGAACAGGAUUCAAAAGAA
RNAcentral lists this unclassified non-coding RNA (298 nucleotides) under Hevea brasiliensis (rubber tree). Lineage: Eukaryota; Viridiplantae; Streptophyta; Magnoliopsida; Malpighiales; Euphorbiaceae. The record is from RNAcentral.